UGGGGGGGUGGGGGGAGGUGGGGGAAAUGGCACCACUGCUCAAAAGGUAAGGGUUAGGUUGGCUACCCUGCUCUGGGUGAUGCCCCCACUGCUCCCAAUAUCCAGAGAACCAGCCCUGUGAUUUCACUCGUGGGGGGAACUGGGGUGGGAAAUGGCCUUCCCUGUGGGAUCUGCACCUGCCCUGUCACUUAGGGGUCUGGGUGCCCCAGGAGGGGGAGACUCGAACACACUGGCACACUGCUCUCCCUAAAAUGAGUCAUUGCCCGUCCGUCCCCCCCCCCCCCCCCCCCCCCCCCCCCCGGCCCAGAUAAACUGAAUGAAUCCCGUGCUCUUGGCACUGAACAGGAUGGAGCAAAAAACAAUCCCUCCCUUGAGUCAGAGCCAGGAAAUUUGCAGCAAUGCUCCAACAUACCCCCCCAUACACUGCUCCCCAUGAGCUCGGGCUAAGCAAGAACCCGGUCCCCAGGGGAGCUGCAGCAGUGCCAGGAGGGCCCCCACCAGCCCCGCCAGACAAGGGACCUCUUCGCCUACCCCAGCCGAAAGGCUGCCAACAAGAGCUCCCUCCCUAGGGGUCCAAGCUCUGCGGGCUCCGCGGCCCACCCACUCCCUGGAUUCUUCCUGGAGGUUUGACCCUUGGAGGAGCCAGGAAAGUUGGGUGCUAAGAGGGACUCGAGGUGCCAGGGGCCCAUGAGUAUGGAGAAGAUCCUGGGGCUCAGGGCCCCUAAGAUAUACUGGGAAGCAACAAAAGUCUCUGACUAAGGGAUAAUUCAGCAAGUUCCCAACUGGCUUAGUCCCAGCCCUCCACACCAGCCGUGCACAGGGCCGAGGAGGAAGGAACAAGAAAGGCGGAAAAAACACAAAGACAAAGCCUCAGAAGCACAUAGUCCAGGAGCCCGUUCCCGCCUACCCUCAGCCUGCCCAGGCUCUCGGAGCCUUCCACAGAAGGAUGGCCAGCAUCUGGCUCGGGGAUGACUCGAGCCCCUUCCAGUUGCCCUGGGAUCCCCAAGGACUCCAUUCUCUGGAACAACUCAAGAAGCCAACGCUUGGGGCAUAAGGAGGGCAACCAGUCUCAAAAAUGGAGCCCACCGGAGGCUGGGAAGGGUUGGGGCUAAGGGGGACGGCUGGGGUGAAUGUCCAGCCCCACAAUUGCCCCCGCCUGCCUGUCAACGACCCAGGGUCUUCCUGGCCACCGUCCUCCACAUCCUGGGACCACACCAGACCUGGAGGCCACAGAGUCUGGGCUUCUGGACCCAGAAGGAACACAACUCGGGGGUGAGCUGGGCUACCUUGGCCUCUAGGUCUGAAUGUUCUUAUCCAAAUAGAGAUGAGUCUGUCAGCCCAAAGCACUAAGGACCUUCAAGUGGGACAGAACUAGGAGCAGCAUCUUCUCUGAGAUCACAAAGCCAAUGAGGGGGAAACUGAGACCUGAGACAAGAAAGGCUCUGGGGCAGUGUGUGGGGUGCUGGGAAGAGCUGGGCAGAAGCCCCAAGUUCCCAUAAGUUUCCACUUGGCCUUGGUAGGGGUUCCCUUAGCUCAUCUCCAGGCUCCUAUCCCCUCGGUUUCUCAUCCAUCGAUAAGAAUGUCCCACUGGUGGAUCUCUAGAUGUCCUCGUGGCUCCUAAAUCUAUAAGGUUGGUCUGGCCCAAGGUCCCCAAGGAGCCAGCGAUGGGACCACAAACCAUCAGGAAGGCGAUCCUGUGGAGAGGCUCGGCCUGGGCAGGAAUUACCCAGCGAGUCCUGCCCAGAGCGGCCGACAUGAGCUUCAGAGGCGGCACGGAGGCCGUGUGGGCGCUGGGAGGCUCAGCCCUGCUCGAGCUGGUGAGGGAUUUCUGGCCACGAGGGGGCCCAAGUCCCCUGCACUCGAGGCUGCAGAUGAAGGGUGGCCUACCUGCCUCCGGAGCCUCUGAGCUGGAGUGGGUGGGGACUCCCAGGAUCGGAGACCCUCAGAGGCAGAGACCCUCCCCUCUCCCCUCCCAUCCUGCCCUGGGGAUGUGAAAUCUCCAACUACAACUUGCAGAAAACAGUUUCCUUUAACCUCAGAUCCCCUUCUAAGGGGCCUCCCUUGACUGGGUCAUCAAUCCAAGCCAAUCCAAUUAUUCAACACCUCCCAUGUACAAGAUACUGUAACAGCUCCUGGGGACGUAAAGUCCAAAGGAAAAAGUCUUUGUUCUUGGAGAACUUCCAUUCUACGAGAGGGACCCGAUGUACCAACAGGAACACAUGCAAUGAUGGAAGGAGAGCACGCACCGAGGGGCUGGGAGCUCGCAGGGGAAGGGAAGGGUCCAAGCCAAGGCACUGGGAUGGGCUGCCAAGGGUGACAACGCACCAAUAGGCUAAUCUGACCAGGAGCAGCCCGCGCAGCCAAGCACCCGGAAGAUGCUCGGCGGUUUAUCGUGGACAGGAAGUGGGGAUGUCGUCCUAAGUGGACGCGGGGUCAGUGGCAACCUUCCAGCAUCCCGAGCCCACUCGAUUCCACGUUCCCACUGAUGCACCAAGAAGUGGGAUGACCUGCCUGGGCUCACAUCACCAAGCCGGGAUUAGAGUUGCCCUUCGUCCUCCCAACCAGGCUUAACGGGGCCAUUCCCGAUUCAAGAGCGAUGCUUGCCUGGCCAGUGGGGGCUCGGUGUGCUGCUGCAUUAGAGAACUGGCACUUCAGGAGGCCAGAGAAAGAAAAAUAGAGGAAACAAAGCUCACGCCCCCAAAGCAGAACCGCCGGAGAGGACUGGGCCGAGUAGUGGCCUGUUCCCCCAGCUACCAAGACAGAGUCUGGCUGCUCUGGGAUACAGGCCAGAGUAUACCCCAGAGACCAGGCUCCUCUGGGAAAGUACCGGAUGCAGCUCAGCCAGAGCUGAAGGCACCUGGAGACCCUCUUCUAGCUAAAAGGCCCAGACCCCAGCAGGGAAGCGAUCACCCAAGUCAGUGCCUGCCGUACAUACAAGAGAAGCAGAGGAAACGAGAGAUAGGAAGGCUUGUCCGGAGCCAGGCUCUUCCACUAACCUGAGCACGGAACCCAGGGAAGACCCUCGCUCAUCCCCUCAUUUGUGAGAGAUGGCAAACUUGGAACCAGAGCCUGGCACCUAGCAGGGGCUUCCUGAACGUUUAAGGCCUGACGGACUGAGACCCAGGGCUCCUCCAGAGAGCCUGCAGUGACACUGGGCCUGGCCCCCAGGGCCCCCAUCUCCCAACUGCUCCCCUUUCCUCUCUCCUCCUAUGGGGCAAGGAACAAAGAAGCAUUCCCUUAAACUGGAAAUCUUCCAUCAAGGUUAUAACCAGGUUCAACCCUGUUAAGGCUCCAGAUGAGACAAGACUGGACACCACCUUGUCCCUCCUCUCCGGCAGCCUGGCCACGGCCCCUGCGAGAACGGGCUUCCCGGGCUUCCUGGCCAAAGGGGCAGAUCCUGGGGGCGGAACAUGGCACCUCGCUUGUUCCACAACAGUCCCGCUGAACUUUUCCCCCCUUUUUAUUCUAAGGAAUGGGACUGGGGUUGGGGGGAGAUGGAGGGUCCCUCUGCUGAUUUAAAAACAAAAGGCAUUACUUUUUUCCUAAAAAUGUAAAUCUCUAGCCUCAGAAGCCUGAGAAAGUGGGAGUUGGGAACUACAAGUUGUUUCUGCUCUAGAAAAGCUGUGACCCGAGCACACCCCCCAGAGAUCCUCGAAGGAGGAAAAGCGCUCGGGGGCCAAAGCGAUUCCCAGGCAAGUCUGGCCCCAAACUGGACACUAUGGGGCGCCACCAACAGCUCCCCAACCGUGGCCCAAGGAAUGCCAUCAAACAGUCCGGCGCUGUAGGAAAUGACAAAACAAGCCGGCCCAGAGCAACGGGGGAUGGGAGGCCCCACAGCUGCUGCGGGCGGACAACGGCCCAGGGAAAGCUCUGGGGACUGCCAUCCCUGCUGCUUUCCCAGGCCCGGAGACACUCCCCACCUGCUGCCAGAUGCUGAGGGAGAUAUCCGGGCUGGAAAUGGUUUGCUCGGAGUCCCUGGAUUUGGUGAAAGGGUUUAAGUGUUUGCUGGGAGGGGAGGUGAGGGGAGGAGUGGAGGACUUGGUUACUAAAGGAAUAGCUAUGAAAAGGCUUAGCGAAAAUAAAGGGAACCACUGAGGAAAGCAGGCCCUGCCCUCGCAUUUCUGAGUUCCUCCAAGGCGGCUCCUGGGAGGACCCGAGCCGGUCUGAGCUGAGGGAGGUGCUCAUCUGUGCUGAAAAAGGCAUCGCAGGCCUGGAGUCAUGCAGAUGGGAAAUAAUAGGUCAGGAUUCAAAUUCAGCUUGGAGGAGGAGGAAGAAAAGCCCGGCCAGUCGGCCGAGGUGGUCAGACAUGUGGCCUGAGGAGAGGGAAGGGCCCAACCCGAAAGGAAACCUGGCAGGGUGGCCCAUAAGCGCUCUGAGGGCAGCCCUGGCCCAUCUGGCUUUCUGGUUUGGCUCUGUGUCCCCCGGACCAGGAACUCCCAAGCUGGAACGUGCCCUCUUGUGCCCACUGUGGCCGGCAGGAGCUCCCCAGAGACCGGUACCCCAGCCCCGCCACCCCCCCUCCCCGGCUUGUUCUCGGGGCGCCUUCCCAAAGCCAAGAAAUACACAAGUCAUUACUUACGAAUGUCUCGGAAAUGGAUAAUGAGCCUGGCCACAAGGGAAAGAUAUUCAUCCUAAAAUUAAAAAACAGGAAGCAGUUUAGUCCAAAUGAAGAAGACAGGCAUCUGUGACUCACCACUUCCCUUCCCUCACCAGAAGGGAGCCCUUCUUCCUGUGGGCCAGCUGAGCCGCACACUGACAGAUGGCAGGGCUGUAGCGCAGGCCCGGCCCCGCGACCCACCGGGGGAGAGAGAGGCGGCCGGCCAAAAAUGGGCCGCAGGAAAGAGGGGGCGAGACGGAGAGAUGCGAAACUGGGGUCGGCCUUCCUGCCUGUUUGCUUCAGCGCCGGCCGUCCCAGCCGGGGGGGCCCUCCGAACACAGGACGUGGAGUGCUUGGGCUGGGAGGAGCCCGGAAGGUCGGAGGUGGAGGGGGCCGGUCUCAUUCUGAAGAAGGGAAGCCGAGGUCCGGGGAGGGGAGGAGAGAGCGGCCCUGCACCUGGGGCCACGGGGCCGGGUUCCAAUCGGGGCCCAGCUACGGGGGAGCAGAUGGAACCUCCCUGUCAACAAUUUUCUCUCCCUUUCCAGAUUUGUUGUCUGAGGAAGGCGGGGUAGGUUAAGCACAAAAGAACCAUUUAUGGAAUCAGUACUGAGGGUACCAAGGAAACUAGCCAUGGGACUGAAGCGGCUCGGGGUGGCCCCCCGGCCCCGGGGCCCUUUCCCAGUUGGAGGGAACAACUCUCCCUUCAGCUACUCUGAAAGGGCUAUAAUCCCAUGGUGAUCCCAGGCAGUGGAGCCUUUUCCAUCCCACAGAAGAAACCGAGUGGUUCUAGUUGGGAGCCAACUUUGUUCUUGGAGCGUGAGCUCAAAACACUGUUCCUGAGUCUUUUCCCUUCCCCAGAUUCCUAAAAGAUUACCUCGAGGACCAGGGAGGGACGGAGGCCGCAGCGCCAGUUUGGAUGCUCUCUGAGCUCGACAUUCCAGAACUCAGAGUAACGUCAAAUAAAGAAAAAUGGUUUCUGGGAGGCUAAGACCCGGCAUUCCGAGCCCAAGUUUUCCCUUCCACAUUUAAGCCCCUUCUCCGAACGGCGCUAACCCCCGCUCUGGGAACCUCCAAGCUGGGGAGGACCCAAAGGAUGUUCCCGCUGCUGAUGCUCCUGUCUAUAAACAUGGCGUAGCCUCUCAGCAGCCAGGAAUAGUGCUCUGCUUGUCCCAUACAGGGCACGUGACUGUGCUGAAGAAGCAGAAGUGACGCCAGCCCCGCUUUACAGAUGAAGAAAGUGAGUCUCAGAGAAAGGAAAAACUCUGUCCAGCUCAGAACCCAGGGUUCAAAUUCUCGUUUGGAACCUUCACAACUGUCUGAGUGCUUCUGGCCCUUUCACAGAUGAGCAAACCGAGUUUCAUCGAUCAUUGAUCCUGGUGCUAGGAGAUAAAGCUGAGACUCCAGCCCACGUCACCAGAGCCUUUCCACCUGCUGCCACCAGGCCCACUGGCCUGGGGUGCCCUCUCAUGCCCCUGCCUGCACCUGAGCUGUGGGCGGCUUGGUCCCUGUGGCCUCCUCCUCUCCUGCGCCUCCCAGCCCAAGCUCACUGUGAGCAGAUGGGGCCCCUGCCCCCUUCACCCCAGCCUCUGGAAACCUCCCCUUCUCACUGUGGCCCCUGAAAUCAUGUGCAGAAAAGCAUGCUGAAGACAGUACGAUGUAAAUGGAAGUUUGCAUGAUUACUUUUAUUGCUGUGAGAGAUGAGCCUCUACAAACAUUUCAUUUUCACAAAAAGACAAGCUAAAAGGGCGGCGUGGAGGAAAGCGUGGGGUUCUGGGCCUGGCGUCACACGGCAAAGGUUCCAGCCUCAGCUCAACCACUAACUGGCUCCGUGGCCCUUUUCCUCCCCCUUCCCAGGAGUCCUGAGCAAGACCCUCCCGGAGGCCACUCAGCCCUCUGCCUUCCCACAAAACCCUCCUGGAGGCUGCUCAGCCCCCUGCCUCCCCGCAGGGCCUCGGCCUCUCUCCCAAACCAAACAGGCCGCAUCAGCAGCGCCUUACCCGUGU
Molecule: long non-coding RNA, 6600 nt
Organism: Sarcophilus harrisii (Tasmanian devil)
Lineage: Eukaryota; Metazoa; Chordata; Mammalia; Dasyuromorphia; Dasyuridae
Exons: 3
Source: RefSeq, a predicted model, not a curated record